CCUACGGGGGACAGCAGUGAGGAAUAUUGGUCAAUGGGCGAGAGCCUGAACCAGCCAAGUCGCGUGAAGGAUGAAGGCUCUAUGGUUUGUAAACUUCUUUUAUAUGGGAAUAAAGUGAGGAACGUGUUCCUUUUUGUAUGUACCAUAUGAAUAAGCAUCGGCUAACUCCGUGCCAGCAGCCGCGGUAAUACGGAGGAUGCGAGCGUUAUCCGGAUUUAUUGGGUUUAAAGGGUGCGUAGGUGGUUAAUUAAGUCAGUUGUGAAAGUUUGUGGCUCAACCAUAAAAUUGCCGUUGAAACUGGUUGACUUGAGUAUAGUAGAGGUAGGCGGAAUGCGUGGUGUAGCGGUGAAAUGCAUAGAUAUCACGCAGAACUCCGAUUGCGAAGGCAGCUUACUAAACUAUAACUGACACUGAAGCACGAAAGUGUGGGUAUCAAACAGGAUUAGAUACCCGUGUAGUC
Molecule: ribosomal RNA, 460 nt
Filed under: uncultured bacterium
Lineage: Bacteria
Description: partial 16S ribosomal RNA
Rfam family: Bacterial small subunit ribosomal RNA
Source: RNAcentral